Molecule: ribosomal RNA, 497 nt
Filed under: uncultured bacterium
Lineage: Bacteria
Description: partial 16S ribosomal RNA
Rfam family: Bacterial small subunit ribosomal RNA
Source: RNAcentral
GAUGAACGCUGGCGGCGUGCCUAAUACAUGCAAGUCGAGCGAACAGACGAGUGGCUUGCUCCUCUGACGUUAGCGGCGGACGGGUGAGUAACACGUGGAUAACCUACGUAUAAGGCGGUGAUAACUUCGGGAAACCGUAGCUAAUACCUGAGAAUAUAUUGAACCGCAUGGGGCAAUAGGGAAAUACGGUUUUGCUGUCACUUAUAGAUGGAUCCGCGCCGCAUUAGCUAGUUGGUAAGGUAACGGCCUACCAAGUCGACGAUCAGUAGCCGAUCUGAGAGGACGACCGGCCACACUGGGACUGAGACACGGCCCAGACUCCUACGGGAGGCAGCAGUGGGGAAUUUUGGACAAUGGGCGAAAGCCUGAUCCAGCAAUGCCGCGUGUGUGAAGAAGGCCUUCGGGUUGUAAAGCACUUUUGUCCGGAAAGAAAACCUUGGCCCUAAUACGGUCGGGGGAUGACGGUACCGGAAAAAAAGGCACCGGCUAACUACGUG